This 30-nucleotide non-coding RNA is filed under the name Mus musculus (house mouse). The record is from RNAcentral. Lineage: Eukaryota; Metazoa; Chordata; Mammalia; Rodentia; Muridae.
UAAACAUAACUCUGUAUCUUUGCUAAAGUC